This 601-nucleotide ribosomal RNA is filed under the name Saccharomyces cerevisiae (brewer's yeast). Its description in RNAcentral is "eukaryotic LSU rRNA". It matches the Rfam family "Eukaryotic large subunit ribosomal RNA", at positions 43 to 657 of the family's 3401-position model. The record is from RNAcentral. Lineage: Eukaryota; Fungi; Ascomycota; Saccharomycetes; Saccharomycetales; Saccharomycetaceae.
UCAAUAAGCGGAGGAAAAGAAACCAACCGGGAUUGCCUUAGUAACGGCGAGUGAAGCGGCAAAAGCUCAAAUUUCGAAAUCUGGUACCUUCGGUGCCCGAGUUGUAAUUUGGAGAGGGCAACUUUGGGGCCGUUCCUUGUCUAUGUUCCUUGGAACAGGACGUCAUAGAGGGUGAGAAUCCCGUGUGGCGAGGAGUGCGGUUCUUUGUAAAGUGCCUUCGAAGAGUCGAGUUGUUUGGGAAUGCAGCUCUAAGUGGGUGGUAAAUUCCAUCUAAAGCUAAAUAUUGGCGAGAGACCGAUAGCGAACAAGUACAGUGAUGGAAAGAUGAAAAGAACUUUGAAAAGAGAGUGAAAAAGUACGUGAAAUUGUUGAAAGGGAAGGGCAUUUGAUCAGACAUGGUGUUUUGUGCCCUCUGCUCCUUGUGGGUAGGGGAAUCUCGCAUUUCACUGGGCCAGCAUCAGUUUUGGUGGCAGGAUAAAUCCAUAGGAAUGUAGCUUGCCUCGGUAAGUAUUAUAGCCUGUGGGAAUACUGCCAGCUGGGACUGAGGACUGCGACGUAAGUCAAGGAUGCUGGCAUAAUGGUUAUAUGCCGCCCGUCUUGA